This 222-nucleotide ribosomal RNA is filed under the name Listeria monocytogenes. RNAcentral's name for it is "partial 16S ribosomal RNA". It matches the Rfam family "Bacterial small subunit ribosomal RNA", at positions 85 to 300 of the family's 1533-position model. Lineage: Bacteria; Bacillati; Bacillota; Bacilli; Caryophanales; Listeriaceae. The record is from RNAcentral.
UCCAAAGUUAGUGGCGGACGGGUGAGUAACACGUGGGCAACCUGCCUGUAAGUUGGGGAUAACUCCGGGAAACCGGGGCUAAUACCGAAUGAUAAAGUGUGGCGCAUGCCACGCUUUUGAAAGAUGGUUUCGGCUAUCGCUUACAGAUGGGCCCGCGGUGCAUUAGCUAGUUGGUAGGGUAAUGGCCUACCAAGGCAACGAUGCAUAGCCGACCUGAGAGGG